GUUUGUUUCUGACUAGUAACUAGGAGCUCAGUGUCUUUGGCCUCUCACACUGACCUUAAGGCAAAUGCCUUUGAACCGUCCACUCCAGUCUGUCAAUCCUCCUUGAAGAAUGGUCCAGCCUGCACUGCUGCUUUUUACCAUCAGGGGGCAGUGGGGCCAUGAGUGCCCAGGGAGACAGGGAAGGAUGCUUAGCACCUGGCGAGUGGGAGGAAGUGUCUCUCAGUGUUUGCACUUAAAGCAUCUCAGUAGCUAGAUACUUCAUUGGUACGAAUGGUGUAUUUUCUUCUAAAUUUUGUGCAAUCCAAAAAGGCAGGAAGUUUGAUCUUAAUGCAUUUUCCAUGGUCAUCUAUUUCACUCUGAGCCAAGAAUUUAUUAGGAAAACGAAAAGAAUUGCAAGAAUAACUUUAGAUUGACAUUUCUCCAUUUUCCUACUUGUCGAAUAGGUUUGGUACGUGUUCUGAAGGAACACGGUGCCAGUUGAAAUGGUGCUCUGCUUUCUUCCCUGUUAUUCUGAAAUAGAUGUGCUUUUCACACACAUGGAUAGACCAUUUACUCCUGAUUUGUAUCUCAGGGACAAAUCUGACUUAUUAACACCAUUAUUUGUAAACUGCUAGCCUGGUUUCCUGUGCUGUUGUAACGCUAUCUUGAUGGGUUGCUGUGAAAAUGUGAAGAUGUCUGUCAGGCAGGAAAAAUUAUGUAAAAAUGAUGUGGGUAUAGAAAAUGGGAUCGACAAAAUGUAAUAAACUCCUCCUGGGCUGAACAGCAGAGCUGCAUAUGUAAUGAAGUACUUUAGGAUUACGUCACCUUUUAUAUAACAUCUGGCAGUGACUUUUAUUUCAGAGCUAAUUUGGAGAAGCCAGGCACUUUUCUCUUCCCCUCCCCAAGACUGCCUUUAUCUGAAAGACGAAAGAAGGAACUGUUACAUUUUGCAUGCAAAGAAAGCCAGAGUGGCUAGAUUACUCCCUUAGGGUAAUGGAGAAAGGAAAAAGAAAUUGAAAAAGGUCAGGUGAACAAAGCAGAAGGAAUGAAGAGGUUUGUGUGAUUCUUAGUGAAAUUGGACCAGUCUAAGCAACCAGACAGUGCAGUUCAGGAAACCAGGCUGAAGAAUGUGAAAUACAUCGCCCAAAGUCAGACACGGAGGAACAACUGCUUCGGAGCUAGCAAUUUCCUGAGCUGGAAUUGCACCACUGGCCUGUAGAAUCCAAACUGUUUUCUACCAGAACAACUCCUUCCCUGCAGGAAGCAGGGUGUGCACAGCUGAACCCUGGUCUGAGAAGGUUGAAGUCACUGACUCAGCCCCAGCAAGGAAGUUGCCCUUCGACUUCUGACCUCUGGCCCUGUUUGAAAACCAACUCAAAUCGUUUUUCUUUUUCAGAAGCUGCUUGCCUCCGCUUCACCUUCCACCAUGAUUGUAAGUUUCCUGAGGCCUCCCAGUCAUGCUUGCCGUUAAAACUGUGGAACUGGCCUGAAAUAACUCGGUGACUAAGGAAUUUCAUUGAGAAAAAAGACAAAAACAAAACAAAUACUUUGUCUUUUGGAAUAAAUGAAUCCUUACAGAAGAGUGGUAAAAUGAACACGAGUUUGGAUCUGUGGAGCCAUUAUUAAGUAAUGAAGACUGAAUUCACCUUCUUUGGGCUGAAGCGAAAUAGAGAUGAAAAUCCCUUCAAUAAUAGAUAUCUACCCACUCCAUGGCCUCUACACCCGCUACUACCCACAUCUGCUGCACAUGAUGGAAACAUUGUUAUUCAUUUGGUUAAUCAUCAAACUCCCAUUGAACACAUACUCCAUUAUGCACUGAAUUAUUACAUUCUGUAAUUCCAAGUAGAAGAGAAUCUAAGAGCUUGUAUUCACAAAUAACUUGUCUGAAGAAAUAACAUCAAAAGAAUAUGGCAUCUCAAAUGAUUAUGAAAAUCACCCUUCAUAGAAGAUGGCGGAUUAUGUUUGUUGCAUUGUUUCUGUAAUGGGACUGAUAGUUUGUGCUGAAUAAUUCAUGCUAUUUGCCCAAGCCCCUUGAAAGUGCUGGCAUAUCUCUGAGGGACAGCUGGCUGAGAUUAUGGGACAUACUAUUGCCACAGACUUGAAUAUUGCCAAAUGGCCUCUUGGAGAUUUUUUUUGGUAGUGCAGUGUUUGCAAUGCUGUCUGUGGAAUUAUGCAGACCUGGGUUCAAAUUCUAACUCUACCCUUUGACUUGGACAAGGGAUUUAACCUCUUUUAGUCUCAAUUUCCUUGUAUGUAAAAUGAAAGUAGUAAUCCAUCCUUAUUGGGAUUUAUACAUAUAAUGUUAUAGGAACAGAAAUUUCAUUGUUUUAAUGAAAACUCCUUUUUCAAGGAGGUUGGGUCUGGUUAAAGGGAAUGUCCCUUUCCUAUUUAGUGCCUUGGGUUUGGUUGUGAAAACCUAGUAAGAGGAGUUGAGGGGUAGGUGGGUACUGGGAGAGCUCCAUUCUUUUUAGAAGAAGAAGAAUGGGGUGAGGAGAAGAGAAGGGAGGAGAGAGGCAAGAGGAGUCAGCCAAAAGGAGUGAAGCAGGAGGGCGAUGAGGCCAACAAAUUGGCAAGGUGGUGGUUGUG
This 2565-nucleotide long non-coding RNA is filed under the name Homo sapiens (human). Its description in RNAcentral is "HSALNT0089113". The record is from RNAcentral. Lineage: Eukaryota; Metazoa; Chordata; Mammalia; Primates; Hominidae.